UACGUAGGGUGCGAGCGUUGCCCGGAUUUAUUGGGCGUAAAGGGCGCGUAGGCGGUCACGCACGUCCGUUGUGAAAUCGCUCGGCUCAACUGGGCGGGGUCAGCGGAUACGGCGUGGCUGGAGCAAGCUAGGGGGCAAUGGAAUUCCCGGUGUAGUGGUGGAAUGCGUAGAUAUCGGGAGGAACACCAGUGGCGAAGGCGGUUGCCUGGAGCUUUGCUGACGCUGAUGCGCGAAAGCGUGGGUAGCAAACGGG
This 253-nucleotide ribosomal RNA is filed under the name uncultured bacterium. RNAcentral describes it as "partial 16S ribosomal RNA". It matches the Rfam family "Bacterial small subunit ribosomal RNA", at positions 524 to 776 of the family's 1533-position model. The record is from RNAcentral.